Non-coding RNA from Corylus avellana, 717 nucleotides. Lineage: Eukaryota; Viridiplantae; Streptophyta; Magnoliopsida; Fagales; Betulaceae. The record is from RefSeq and is a predicted model, not a curated record.
AUAUACUUAUGCAAAUUGUUUUUCAACUUUGAGUUGUUCUGCAGGAUUGGUCACUAAGGACAUUUGGUCUCUACCCGGGCACAAUAAAAAAAUUGGGAUCACUUCUUAUGGACUCAUUGAGAGUGAUUCUAAUCUAAUUCAUUGCCUAUUAGAGAAGUAGAAGUCAUUCUGGUGUGAUCCUCACGGACAGAAAGAUUGCGGUCAAUUUGAUAAUGAUCAAGUGACAUUGCUUCUUUGGCCCGAACCAAGAAAUCCUUUAGAUAUGAUGUAAAAUGGAUUUUGGUCUACCGUUGAUAAGAGAUCUCUCUAUGAACAAUAUGACGAGUUUGAAGACGGGGAACGAACAAAUGCAGUAUCCCCAUGAACGAACUGAUCAUGAUUAUUUAAUAUAAAGUAAUGGUUCAAACUUCGAAAGGCUGGUGCAAAUUGUUACAACACUCUAAUGUAUUGCUACCUGAAAUACCCAUGUGGAAGUGCAGUUUGUUUUUCUCUUGCUAAUGUAUUGUUUACUGUCUUUUUAAGAGAGAACCAAAAGAUGCAUAUUAAUGAACAAUUUUUCUGGUUAAAUGUCUUUUUGUGAGAUAGUUUUACAAUGUUUCUCUAUAUAAAGCUACUACACAAUACAAUAAACAAAGGGCUUACUCAUCUUUACUUCAAAGGAGAAAAGCCAUGAACUCUUUGAAUUAUGUUGUUCAAAUCGAAAAGAACUUAUGUUUA